GAUGAACGCUAGCGGCAGGCCUAAUACAUGCAAGUCGAACGAGAUUAAGAGGCUUGCUUCUUAUGAAAGUGGCGCACGGGUGCGUAACGCGUAUGCAACCUACCUUACUCAGGGGGAUAGCCCGAAGAAAUUCGGAUUAAGACCGCAUAAAAACACAGGAUAGCAUUAUCCAAUGUUCAAAUAUUUAUAGGAUUAAGAUGGGCAUGCGUGUCAUUAGCUAGUUGGCGGGGUAACGGCCCACCAAGGCGACGAUGACUAGGGGAUCUGAGAGGAUGACCCCCCACACUGGUACUGAGACACGGGCCAGACUCCUACGGGAGGCAGCAGUAAGGAAUAUUGGUCAAUGGAGGGAACUCUGAACCAGCCAUGCCGCGUGCAGGAAGACAGCCCUCUGGGUCGUAAACUGCUUUUAUUCGGGAAUAAACCUUUCUACGUGUAGGAAGCUGAAUGUACCGAAGGAAUAAGGAUCGGCUAACUCCGUG
This 482-nucleotide ribosomal RNA is filed under the name uncultured bacterium. RNAcentral describes it as "partial 16S ribosomal RNA". It matches the Rfam family "Bacterial small subunit ribosomal RNA", at positions 28 to 507 of the family's 1533-position model. The record is from RNAcentral.